AAGCAUCGACACCACGACUCCAGGCAGC
Molecule: small RNA, 28 nt
Filed under: Bombyx mori (domestic silkworm)
Lineage: Eukaryota; Metazoa; Arthropoda; Insecta; Lepidoptera; Bombycidae
Description: ovarian small RNA-10566
Source: RNAcentral